Molecule: ribosomal RNA, 300 nt
Filed under: uncultured bacterium
Lineage: Bacteria
Description: bacterial SSU rRNA
Rfam family: Bacterial small subunit ribosomal RNA
Source: RNAcentral
CUAUGCGCCUUGCCAGCCCGCUCAGGUGUGCCAGCCGCCGCGGUAAUACGUAGGGAGCAAGCGUUGUCCGGAAUUACUGGGCGUAAAAGGGCGCGUAGGUGGGCGCUUAAGUCAGGUGUGAAAACUCCGGGCUCAACCUGGAGACUGCACUUGAAACUGGGUGUCUUGAGGGCAGGAGAGGAAAGUGGAAUUCCUAGUGUAGCGGUGAAAUGCGUAGAUAUUAGGAGGAACACCAGUGGCGAAGGCGGCCUGCUGGGCUUUUACUGACGCUGAGGCUCGAAAGUGUGGGGAGCAAACAGG